AAUUCAACUCAAUUUCCAUAUGCAGGAGACUUACGGUGUUAAAACAAUACCGAUCUUGUGAACUUUUCCCAAGUCUCUACAAACCAACCUCAAAUUAUUCUAUAGCCUAAAACUUUCAACAAAAAUGCAAUUUUUUUUAGAAAGAAAACAAAAACAAAACAAAACAAAGAACAAAAACAAAGAAAAUAAAGUAUUCCCUCCCCCACACUUAAAAU
This 215-nucleotide long non-coding RNA is filed under the name Lathyrus oleraceus (garden pea). Its description in RNAcentral is "Pisum sativum (pea) long non-coding RNA (PSAT_LNC001966)". The record is from RNAcentral. Lineage: Eukaryota; Viridiplantae; Streptophyta; Magnoliopsida; Fabales; Fabaceae.